RNAcentral lists this long non-coding RNA (2253 nucleotides) under Citrus maxima (pomelo). RNAcentral's name for it is "long non-coding RNA (CMAX_LNC003103)". Lineage: Eukaryota; Viridiplantae; Streptophyta; Magnoliopsida; Sapindales; Rutaceae. The record is from RNAcentral.
GCGUAUCUCCAUUUUAAUGGGAAGUAUUAGCGUAUCUCCCACUUUUCUCCCCUGCCGUUUGUAUACCGUUUCAUAUUGUUAAUGGACGAAGCUACAAGUCUUCUCUUUCAUCAAAUCGAUCCAUAACAAAUACGAGUCUGCUUCACCUAACCAAAACACACACAUACUCCAUCUCUAAAUGCUUUGAAGAUAAACAAAUCAACCGUAAUCCUGCAACUUUAGCUCAGAGAAUCGGAUAAGAAAAGAACAGGUGAUGAAUCAAGGGUAAUGGCGCCGAGUGAGUGUCGCCUGCGGUCGGCGUUAGAGGCGACUGUCACUCAAUCGCGUACAAGGUUAGUCUUUGAAAAAACUCUUUGCACGUUAGAAAUCAGUGAUUGGGCAUUAUUUUGUUGUUUAAAAAUGAAAAUGGGUUUAUUAGUUUGUCGAAGAAUCUGCUCUGUUGCCGGUGUUGUUUGUUGAUUAAAAUGAAAAUGGGUUUGUUGAUGUGUUGAAGAAGUUGCUCUACUGCUGGUGUUUUUUUAUUAAUUAAAAUGAAAAUGGGUUUGUUAAUUUAUUGAAGCAGCUGCUGGCAUUGUUAUUGUGACUUUAUUUAUCCAAUUGAUGAGCUUAUGAGCUAAUAGUAUUGUUUGAUCAAGCUUGUGUUCUUAAUAGUGGAGUUGAUAUUCUUAAAAAUGAAUUUAUGAUUAUGAGAAUAUGAAAAUUGAAUGGCAUCAUAGAGAUCUAGAUUAAUCACCAUCGUAUAUGUUUCUAAAUAAAGGAAUAAGCAGCAACUGAUUUGAAACUUAAGACUUUAGGGAUAUGUAUGUGCAACUGAAUGAAUCAUCAGUUGCUAUCUUGUAAGUCAAUACUAGCAUAUUACUUAAUGGCAAGUGAAACUAUUUUAUGUGUAUUGCUGCCUAUCAAAAUGUUUAUGUUUGAAGUUAUCUCCUUUUAGGAAAUUGAAUGCUUCUGUGAGUUCUCUGGUAAGGGCUAUACAACUAGUUCUAAUAGAUUCCUUCAUGUGCAUUAAUUAGCUUAGUAGUUUAUUGACCUAUAUCCAAUGUCUAUUCCCCUUUUCUGUAGCCGUCUAGUUUUAUGAGCAUGUGAAGUGAACUUUUGUUUUAUGUUUCAGGACUUGGGAUUAGAGUGUAUAACAUUCAAUAUCUUUUUAUCAAAGAACUGAUAUAUGUCAAUGUAGUGCGAUCUGGUCUUUAUUAGCUUCUUGAUUUGCCAGGAUGUUUGACAACCAUCUUUGACCAUGAUUGCCAACAUAUAAGCUGCUACAUAGUGUCUCAGGAAUCACAGCAAAUUAUUAUCAUAAUAUGGUGAUUUUGAAUCCAAAACUUGGUAGUGUCAAGAAAAUAGACCCCUGUUUAUUUAUCUUCAUGUUUUGUAUGCGGCUGCAAUAGACUAUUAUAAGUUACUUUUAGUUUUAUCAAGUUUUUUUUCCUUAAAUUUCAUCGAGUCUUGGAGUCUUUGUAAUAUAGAGUCUAAGUGAAGAAUACUUGGGUGAAAUCUUGUAUUCUCUCUUCCAGUAAUAUAAUCAUCCUUUGUGUUUUUAUCUUUUUAUUUUGGAAUCAGAGCAUACUUUAUUAUAGAAGGACUUAGACUCUAUAUUACAAAGACUCAGCGGUUUCUUUUAACUGAGUUAAUAGUGUUGUUAGGUUAAACUAAGUUUGGCUUCAUAAGAUUCAUAGUAGAGUGUAGAACUGGGUACAAUGUUGGGUUAGACAAGUCAAAAGUCUUAUCAAGUAAUUGUUCUGCUUACUGAUUUGGUAAUUGCAACAUUGCUAAAUAGUUCAAUUUGUCCUUUUAUUUUGUUGAAUUUAUUGUAUGUCAUAUUACUUCAUUUAAUUAUUUUCUCAGAUCUUGUAGGUGAAAAUUUCAGCUUCAAAGGCCAAGCUAAUCAUCCAGCAAUUCAGUGAAACCAAGACACAGUGGCUCAUAAAUUGUUGUUGGUGAUCCAGCCAUUCGGGUGCUUGCCAGUCCUAGACGAGAAAACUUUCAACGCGGCGCAUAAAUUGUUGUUGAUCUACUUUAUAUAUUUUGACCUUUGUGAUUUGUGAAUACAUGGUUUGAUUCCAGUGUUUACAACUUUGAUACUGUGUAUAACUUAAAAAGCAAAUGAAACAAGUAGGAAAUGUGUUUUUAUUUUUUUUAUUCGAUCUAUCUAUUUAUUUUUUGUUUGGAAAUGUAACAAUUUAUAGCUGGCAAAGUACUAGAGUUGUAUACUUGUAUUUAAUUCAUUAUUAUUAUUUUUUUAAUGACUCAGUA